This 486-nucleotide ribosomal RNA is filed under the name uncultured bacterium. RNAcentral describes it as "bacterial SSU rRNA". It matches the Rfam family "Bacterial small subunit ribosomal RNA", at positions 36 to 518 of the family's 1533-position model. The record is from RNAcentral.
CUGGCGGCGUGCCUAAUACAUGCAAGUCGAGCGAGAAAUACUUCAGACGAUCUUCGGAUGAGUCAGGAAGAUGGAAAGCGGCGGACGGGUGAGUAACGCGUAGGCAACCUGCCCUCAGCAGAGGGAUAGCCAUUGGAAACGAUGAUUAAAACCUCAUAAUGCUGGACCAACACAUGUUGGAUCAGCCAAAGAUUUAUCGGCUGGGGAUGGGCCUGCGUCUGAUUAAACUGGUUGGUGAGGUAACGGCUCACCAAGGUAACGAUCAGUAGCCGACCUGAGAGGGUGAUCGGCCACAUUGGAACUGAGACACGGUCCAAACUUCUACGGAAGGCAGCAGUAAGGAAUCUUGCACAAUGGGGGAAACCCUGAUGCAGCAACGCCGCGUGAACGAUGAAGGCCUUAGGGUUGUAAAGUUCUGAUCUGUGGGAAGAAGAAAGUGACGGUACCACAGGAGAAAGCCCCGGCUAAAUACGUGCCAGCCGCAGC